AAGGCCACUGGUGAAGGCUACUGGUCAAGGCUACUGGUGAAGGCUACUAGUGAAGGCUACUGGUGAAGGCUACUGGUGAAGGCUACUGGUGAAGGCUACUAGUGAAGGCAGGGCAGGGAGGCUACUGGUGAAGGCUGCUGGUGAAGGCUACUGGUGAAGGCUACUAGUGAAGGCUACUAGUGAAGGCUGCUGGUGAAGGCUACUAGUGAAGGCUACUGGUGAAGGCUACUGGUGAAGGCUACUAGUGAAGGCUACUGGUGAAGGCUACUGGGGAAGGCUACUGGUGAAGGCUACUAGUGGAGGCUACACCUAGUCAGUGAGUGAGUAAGUGAAUGAGUGAGUGAGUAAGUCAGUGAGUGAGUGAGUGUGUGUGUGUGUGAGUGAGUGAAUAGCAGUAUCUGAGUGAGCAGAUAGAGAGCCACAGAAUAAUACAGAAUACCACGACAGAACAAAGUGUGGACCCCUUUGGAUUUGGAUGAGGUGGAUUGGACUAUCUCCAGAUGCUCAGAUUAUAGAUCAACUAUCUGUUGAAACUCUGUUAGGGU
This is a long non-coding RNA of Clupea harengus (Atlantic herring), 545 nucleotides long. NCBI's taxonomy places the organism in Eukaryota, Metazoa, Chordata, Actinopteri, Clupeiformes, Clupeidae. The record is from Ensembl.